GCAUCCUUAGCUCAACUGGAUAGAGCAACAGACUUCUAAUCUGUAGGUUAUAGGUUCGAGUCCUAUAGGGUGCGCCA
This 77-nucleotide transfer RNA is filed under the name Candidatus Saccharimonadota bacterium. RNAcentral describes it as "tRNA-Arg". It matches the Rfam family "tRNA". Rfam says of the family: Transfer RNA (tRNA) molecules are approximately 80 nucleotides in length. Their secondary structure includes four short double-helical elements and three loops (D, anti-codon, and T loops). Lineage: Bacteria; Candidatus Saccharimonadota. The record is from RNAcentral.